CGCGGCCUAUCAGCUUGUUGGUGGGGUAACGGCCUACCAAGGCUAUGACGGGUAGCUGACGUGAGAGCGUGAGCAGCCACACUGGGACUGAGACACGGCCCAGACUCCUACGGGAGGCAGCAGUGGGGAAUAUUGCGCAAUGGGCGAAAGCCUGACGCAGCGACGCCGCGUGGGGGAGGAAGGCCUUAGGGUUGUAAACCCCUGUCAGGUGGGACGAACCCCGGGUCGGUUAAUAAUCGGCUCGACUGACGGUACCACCAGAGGAAGCUCCGGCUAACUCCGUGCCAGCAGCCGCGGUAAUACGGAGGGAGCGAGCGUUGUUCGGAAUCACUGGGCGUAAAGGGCGCGUAGGCGGCCGAGUAAGUCGUGUGUGAAAGACCGGGGCUCAACUCCGUGUACUGCAUGCGAUACUGCCCGGCUAGAGUAAGGUAGAGGCGAGUGGAAUUCCCGGUGUAGCGGUGGAAUGCGUAGAUAUCGGGAAGAACACCUGUGGCGAAGGCGGCUCGCUGGGCCUUUUCUGACGCUGAAGUGCGAAAGCGUGGGGAGCAAACAGGAUUAGAUACCCCGGUAGUCCACGCCGUAAACGAUGGGCACUAGGCGUUGGGAGGAUUGACCCUCUCAGUGCCGUAGCUAACGCGUUAAGUGCCCCGCCUGGGGAGUACGG
RNAcentral lists this ribosomal RNA (664 nucleotides) under uncultured bacterium. Its description in RNAcentral is "bacterial SSU rRNA". It matches the Rfam family "Bacterial small subunit ribosomal RNA", at positions 232 to 885 of the family's 1533-position model. The record is from RNAcentral.